This 169-nucleotide unclassified non-coding RNA is filed under the name uncultured fungus. RNAcentral's name for it is "sequence contains ITS1, 5.8S rRNA gene". The record is from RNAcentral. Lineage: Eukaryota; Fungi.
CCGAGUUUUGGGACCCUCUGGGUACCAGCUCCCACCAUUUGUGAACCUUUUUCGUUGCCUCGGCGGACCUGAUGGUACCCAUCCUCCGGCUUUUUGCUGGGGAGCGUCCGCCGAUGGAUUUUCAAACCCGAUUUUAACCUUGAAAUCUGAGUAAAAACAAAUAAAAACA